This 73-nucleotide transfer RNA is filed under the name Felis catus (domestic cat). It matches the Rfam family "tRNA". From Rfam's summary of the family: Transfer RNA (tRNA) molecules are approximately 80 nucleotides in length. Their secondary structure includes four short double-helical elements and three loops (D, anti-codon, and T loops). The record is from Rfam by way of RNAcentral. RNAcentral also lists the same sequence under 1 other name. Lineage: Eukaryota; Metazoa; Chordata; Mammalia; Carnivora; Felidae.
GCCUGGCUGGCUCAGUCAGGAGAGCGUGUGGCUUUUGAUCUCAGGGUCAUGAGUUUGAGCCCCAUGUUAGGCA